CCUUCGGGACAGAGGAGACAGGUGGUGCAUGGUUGUCGUCAGCUCGUGUCGUGAGAUGUUGGGUUAAGUCCCGUAACGAGCGCAACCCCUAUCCCUAGUUGCUAGCAGUUCGGCUGAGAACUCUAGGGAGACUGCCGGUGACAAACCGGAGGAAGGUGGGGAUGACGUCAGGUCAUCAUGGCCCUUACGGCCAGGGCUACACACGUGCUACAAUGGCGCAUACAGAGUGUUGCGAGCUGGUAACAGUAAGCCAAUCACAAAAAGUGCGUCUCAGUUCGGAUUGAGGUCUGCAACUCGACCUCAUGAAGCUGGAAUCGCUAGUAAUCGCGUAUCAGCAAUGACGCGGUGAAUACGUUCCCGGACCUUGUACACACCGCCCGUCAAGCGAUGGAAGUUGGGAGGACCUGAAG
This 410-nucleotide ribosomal RNA is filed under the name Chloropicon mariensis. RNAcentral describes it as "partial Bacterial small subunit ribosomal RNA". It matches the Rfam family "Bacterial small subunit ribosomal RNA", at positions 1017 to 1426 of the family's 1533-position model. The record is from RNAcentral. Lineage: Eukaryota; Viridiplantae; Chlorophyta; Chloropicophyceae; Chloropicales; Chloropicaceae.